AAAUUGAAGAGUUUGAUCAUGGCUCAGAUUGAACGCUGGCGGCAGGCCUAACACAUGCAAGUCGAACGGUAACAGGAAGCAGCUUGCUGCUUUGCUGACGAGUGGCGGACGGGUGAGUAAUGUCUGGGAAACUGCCUGAUGGAGGGGGAUAACUACUGGAAACGGUGGCUAAUACCGCAUAACGUCGCAAGACCAAAGAGGGGGACCUUCGGGCCUCUUGCCAUCAGAUGUGCCCAGAUGGGAUUAGCUUGUUGGUGAGGUAACGGCUCACCAAGGCGACGAUCCCUAGCUGGUCUGAGAGGAUGACCAGCCACACUGGAACUGAGACACGGUCCAGACUCCUACGGGAGGCAGCAGUGGGGAAUAUUGCACAAUGGGCGCAAGCCUGAUGCAGCCAUGCCGCGUGUAUGAAGAAGGCCUUCGGGUUGUAAAGUACUUUCAGCGGGGAGGAAGGUGUUGUGGUUAAUAACCACAGCAAUUGACGUUACCCGCAGAAGAAGCACCGGCUAACUCCGUGCCAGCAGCCGCGGUAAUACGGAGGGUGCAAGCGUUAAUCGGAAUUACUGGGCGUAAAGCGCACGCAGGCGGUCUGUCAAGUCGGAUGUGAAAUCCCCGGGCUCAACCUGGGAACUGCAUUCGAAACUGGCAGGCUUGAGUCUUGUAGAGGGGGGUAGAAUUCCAGGUGUAGCGGUGAAAUGCGUAGAGAUCUGGAGGAAUACCGGUGGCGAAGGCGGCCCCCUGGACAAAGACUGACGCUCAGGUGCGAAAGCGUGGGGAGCAAACAGGAUUAGAUACCCUGGUAGUCCACGCCGUAAACGAUGUCUACUUGGAGGUUGUGCCCUUGAGGCGUGGCUUCCGGAGCUAACGCGUUAAGUAGACCGCCUGGGGAGUACGGCCGCAAGGUUAAAACUCAAAUGAAUUGACGGGGGCCCGCACAAGCGGUGGAGCAUGUGGUUUAAUUCGAUGCAACGCGAAGAACCUUACCUGGUCUUGACAUCCACAGAACUUUCCAGAGAUGGACUGGUGCCUUCGGGAACUGUGAGACAGGUG
Molecule: ribosomal RNA, 1050 nt
Filed under: Salmonella enterica subsp. enterica serovar Kedougou
Lineage: Bacteria; Pseudomonadati; Pseudomonadota; Gammaproteobacteria; Enterobacterales; Enterobacteriaceae
Description: bacterial SSU rRNA
Rfam family: Bacterial small subunit ribosomal RNA
Source: RNAcentral